CUGUUUUGAGCACUGAUGAAGUUCACUGUGAACCAGGCUGCAGAGGCUUACUUUGGUGGAGGAACAAAGUUAACAGUUUUAGAAAACGAUCUUAAUAUCACUGUACCGAUAGUGAAAGUGCUUCAACCUUCACCAAAGGAGUGUCGAAACCAGAAAGACGAUGCCAAGAAGAAGACCAUUGUGUGUGUGGCCAGUGGAUUCUACCCGGACCAUGUUAGUGUAUUCUGGGACAUCGACGGGGAUAAUGUCACCGCUGGUGUGGCGACUGACGAAGCUGCCCUGCGGGAAGGCAACAAUUACACGAUCACCAGCAGGCUGAGGGUCUCUGCCAAAGACUGGUUCACACCCACCAAAACAUUCACCUGCACUGUCAGCUUCUUCAAUGGGACGCAUACUGUACUUUAUUCAGAAUCAAUCGAAGGGAAAGAAGCUAAAGGAGAUCUCAUGACAAGAGAAAAAUAUCUGAAGAUCACACAGAGCGCCAAACUCUCCUACACUGUUUUCAUCAUCAAGAGCAGCAUCUACGGAGCCUUCGUAGCGUUUCUGGUGUGGAAGCUUCAGAGUUCAGCUGGAAAGCAGUACAACUGAGAGCUGAUCGCGUGAAUCCUACGAGGUCAAAAGUGUCGGCUUCUGUAAAUAAGUGCUUAAAACAUUGAAGUUAUAAAUCCACAACUUUGUAUGUUGAAGGGUAUUUUGCAUUCUGCUAAAAUAGAUUAACAGUUCUAUGCAUAUUCUUGUUAAAACUGGCAUGCAAAUACACAUUUUUAUAUAUACUUAUGAUAAUAUCUUUGUGGUUGUGAAUCACUUGUUUGCUUAAUUUUCUUCUAAUAAAAGUACUUCAGAGGA
Sebastes umbrosus (honeycomb rockfish) is the source of this 846-nucleotide non-coding RNA. NCBI's taxonomy places the organism in Eukaryota, Metazoa, Chordata, Actinopteri, Perciformes, Sebastidae. The record is from the annotation of a RefSeq genome assembly.